GUUGAAUGGUGUCACCACUAGGGGGCCCGCUGGUCAGCUCUAUCCCUGACCUCGGGGGCUGGCUUUGGACAAAAAACACAGAAUCCCACCCCAAAUAUCUUCUCUGUAUUGUUCUCCUCAUCUCGACCAUCCCUAUCCGAGAUUGUUGUAACUGGCCCUCGAUCGCCCAGAAACCACGCUGGCCGUUCUUGGACUUGGCCCGGAAUCUGGGCGCCCCUAGGGAUGUAUAUUUGAGGCCACGGCCUCCCUCCACUCAUCCGUCUGUGCCAAAGCCGAGUGCAUCAUGUGAGCAGAGAGGAGAAGAAAGAGAGAACAACGCUGCUACCGUCGAUCUCGUCCCGCACUAUCUCUCGAGGAACAGCUGAAUCACUCGACAGAGUUCCUCGAGCGCCGCUCGUAGGCUCCUUGCAGCGUAUUCUCUGAGUAGCAGCGAGGUUAACGAGUCACUUGAAGACCAAGUUGGUGAAAUACCUAGGAAUCUUGAGUCUAAGGCAAGUUGUGCCCUUGAUCACUUUUCUCUUUACCCAAUAAUGUUCCAAUUAAUCACUAUGACAUGCUCAGGUUAAUUUUAUGGGACCUAAUAGGUUCCCUAGAUUUGUUUAUCCCACACCUUGUUUACCACUGAACUUUUGGGUAGUUUUGCUAUUGCUCUACCUGGUUUUGGGAUUAAUGUUACAUUAUGAUCAUGUUCCAGUUAUGCUGUUGUUUUAAUUAUUGUUCAUGACAAGAUCAUUGUGUUGAUUGGAACAUCCGAACAUGGAGCUUAACUUGAGAUAUCCAUGAUACCACAAGGGUGGAAUGGGACGCCCUUGGUCGACUAAUUAGGAAAGCUAGUGGAGCACUACCUUAACCAAAAGGGGCAAGGGCGAUAGAGGAGCUGUGUAUAGGGAGGUUCUCGGGUCGAUCAUGCUGCGAUGGCUUUUCGGACGAGGGAUUCCUAUAUUGCCCUUCUUAGAAACCGUAGCGGGUUUUCUAAAGCUAGUGGAACUUUGUAAAGGCCUCAUAGUGGAUCCCUAGCCAUUCACCUCGGAAGUGUCUAAGAGCCUUGAAACCCUGGCUAGACGGGAUACACGACUUGUGGGUAAAGGGCGCAACCUCUGCAGAGUGUAAAACUGGUAUAUCAGCCAUGCUCACGGUCAAGAGCGACUCAGGACUCUCGCAUGAUUAACUUAUGGAACUAAACUUAAUCUGUUAGAUGCAUUGCGUCGUGGGUGUUAUUAUCAAUUGUGAUCUUUUAUUUAAUUGGGUUGGUAUCUACUUAUGCAUAGUAAAUGCUAAUAAAAUUCUGACCAACUCUAAAAGCAAUGCUUAGCUUUAACCAUCUCCUUUGGUAAGCCUUACACUUCACAUGAGAUCCCACCUUCGAUGAGUUCAUGCACAUUAUUCCCCACAACUUGUUGAGCGAUGAACGUAUGUGAGCUCACCCUUGCUGUACUCAGAUCCCCCCAGGUCAAGAAUAGGUACCGUAGGAUGAGGCGCAUGAAGGAUGCUGUGAUGAGUUCAUGAGUGGUCUAGGCCAUCGUCUCCCAGUCAACUUUGGUUGCUGGAUCGUUGUCUUCGUAUGAUGUAAUUACUUAACUAUUUUGUAUAGAACUCCAUUAUAUAUAAAUGAUGUUACAUUCAUUUCUGUACCAUGAGUUAUCAUAUGUGUGAGACUUGAUCCUAGCACACAUGUGAAUCGCGCCCAGGUUUGGCCCCCUAAAUCCGGGUGUGACAAUAUUGAUGAGUCUAGGAAGGGCUAGCAAAGCAGCAUCAUAACCAUAUAACACCCUGAAUGGUGUACAACCCAAAACAACAUGAUAAGUGGUAUUGUACCAAUACUCCGCGAGAGCCAACCAACUCUUCCAUUUGAUGGGCUGAGAAUUGACAGCACAUCGGAGAUACAUCUCCAAACAUUGGUUCACAUGCUCACUUUGGCCAUCAGUCUGUGGGUGAUAUGAUGUAGACAUCAACAGCUUGACCUCUAUCAACUAAAACAUGAGCUUCCAAAAACUGCUAGUAAACACUUUAUCCCUAUCAGAUACUAGCGAUUUGGGCACUCCAUGUAGCUUAACCACAUUGUCCAGAAAGACUUGUGCAACACCCUUCACAGUAAAAGGAUGUUUCAAAGGACAGAAAUGACUAUAUUUCGAAAAUCAAUCAACCACAACUAAAAUUGUAUCAAACCUUUCCGACUUAGGCAAACCUUCAAUGAAAUCCAUAGUCACAUCUUCCCACACACCCUGUGGUAUAGGCAAAGGUUGUAAUAACCUAGUUGGAUGAGUUCUUUCACUCUUGGCCUUUGACAAAUUGCACACUAUUGGACAAACUGGACCACAUCUGCCUUUAAUCCCUUCCAAUAAAACACUUUCUUUACCCGUUGAUAUGUGGCCUGUGUACCAGAAUGACCACCAAUGGCAUUGUCAUGCAACGCUGCCACCAACUUAGUUCUCAGAGCAGAAUUAGCACCAAUCCAAAUCCUUCCUGCCUUGCGAAUAAUGCCUUGAUACAAUGAAAACCAAUUCUCAUCAGGACUGCGCACCAACAAUGGAGCUAUCAACUAUUGAGCUUCAGCAUCAGUAGCAUAAGAAUUCAGCACCUCCUGUACCUAAACUGGUUGCACUUCAGAAAUGGCAGCUAAGUCCAAAACUGAACUCCUCCUUGACAAUGCAUCAACCACUACAUUCUAUGCCCCCUUUUUAUAUACAAUAUGAUAUUGCAACCCCAUUAACUUGGUCGUAGCCUUCUUUUGAAGAUCUGACUGUAACUGCUGAUCUCCCAAGAAGGUCAAAGAUUUGUGAUCUAUCUUAAUCACAAAUGCACCCCUCUGCAAAUACUGCCUCCACUUAUCUACAGCCAUAAUCAAGGCCAAAAACUCCUUCUCAAAUAUCGAAAUAUGUUUGUUCUUUUCUCCCAGAGCUUUACUCAGAAAGGCAAUGGGUCUGCCCUGCAGCAUCAACACAGCUCUAAGACCCACAUCUGAUGCAUCUGUCUCGACUGUGAAAGGAAGAUCAAACUUGGGUAGGGCAAGAACCGGUGUUGAAGCCAUAUCCUGUUUCAACUCCUGAAAAGCAACCUGAGCGUCUUCAGACCACUGAAACACUUGUUGUUUUUGCAACAACCUAGUAAGAGGUCUAGCCAUAAUACCAUAAUCUUUCACAAAUUUCCUGUAAUAGCCUGUUAAACCUAAGAAUCCCCUCAACUCUAUCACAUUCAUAGGUUGUUUCCAGGACAACAUAGCUUCAGUUUUACUAGAGUCUGUGGCCACCCCAUCUCUUGAAAUCACAUGCCCCAAAUAUUUGAGUUCAUGCUUCACAAAAGUGCAUUUCUUCAUCUUAAAGAAAAACUAGUGCUCUCUCAGCUUGGCCAACACCAUCCUGAUAUGCUGAUAAUGCACUUCCAAACUAGGGAUGUAGAUGAGAAUAUCAUCCAAGAAAACCAUAACAAAUUUUCUAAGAAAAGUCUCCAACACUGAGUUCAUGGCACACUGGAAGCUAGCUGGUGCAUUAGUGAGAUCAAAAGGCAUCACUCAAAACUUAUAAUGGCCAUGAUGUGUUUUAAAAGCAGUCAUGUAUUCAUCCUCAGGUCCCAUCCGAAUUUGGUGAUAUCCUGCUGUCAUGUCAAGACUAGUGAAAUACUGGGCACCAACUAAUUCAUCUAGUAUCUCAUCCACCAUAAGCAUAGGAAAUAUGUUCUUUAUAGUCAUUCCAUUUAACUUCUAGUAAUCUAUACAGAACCUCCAGCUGCCAUCCUUUUUUUGCACAAGUAAAACUAGAGAAGAAAAAGAACUGACACUAGGGACUAUCAACCCUGCUGCUAGCAGUUCAGUAAUUUGCUUUUAAAUCUCAGUUUUGUGAGCUAGAGAAUAUCUAUAAGGCCUUGAGUUUACCGAAAUAGACCCUGGCAACAGAGGAAUGUGAUGGUCAUAAGGCCUGAUUAGAGGCAAUUUCGAAGGCACAACAAAAACAUCUUCUAAUUCCUUUAAAAUCUCCCGUAGAACUGCAUCAUUUUUCCCAACUAUUUCUUUUGUAACCUACUCCAGAAGCACAAAUACCUAGACUUCCUCUCCCUUCAUCCAUUUCUCCAGUUGCAACACAGAUACUUGUCGCACUUCCUACACCUCUCUAGCAUCACCCUGUAACCUUACCAUCUUUCAUUGAUCAGUAAAGGUUAACACCUUGUUAUUCCAGUCACACUCCAUAGGACUCUGAGCCUUCAACCAAUCAUACCCUAGGAUCACAUCAUAUGCUUCCAAAUCCAACAACCUCAUAGCAGUGUUGUACAGGUGCCCCCCAGAACUCCACACUAUCUCCUUAACUCUUUUAUCACUGAUCAUAGCUGUUUCAUUUGCCACAUUAACCCGCACAGUGGAGCAAUCUUCAGUGACCAACCCCAAUUUUGCUACAAUUCUCUGGAUGAUAAAGGUUGCAGAACUACCAGAAUCAAUGAGCAUGACCAACAUCUGAUUCUGAAUCAGAGCUUGGACCCUCAUACAUCCGUCACAUUAUGUGCCAAACUCCUCCACACACUUCUCCUCAUUCUCCAACUUCUGCAAUACUUCAUCAGUCAAAACUAGACCCAUGUCUUCCACGAUCAGAUUAUGUAGUUGAGUUACCACCCUCUUCGGACAUUUUGCUUGAUGGCCUGGCUCAAAUUUAUCUCCACAAAUAAAACACAACCCAUUCGCUCUUCUAUAUUCCCUCAACUACCUGAACUCAGGAUACAAUAUUCCUUCCCUAUUCUCUCCCCUUACUCCUGCAACCUGAGUUUUGAGAACCAGUCCCUUUUGAUUUCUAACUCUAUUCUUCUCUACAAUCUCCUGAUACACCUUGGCCAACCUCUUCGCCUUAUCCAUUGUCUUAGGCAUCUGAGCCAUGACUUGGUUCUGAAUUUCAGGUUACAACCCCUUAAUAUAGUGUGUCACAAAUAGGGUCUCAUCCAACUCAGAAUUGUGCAAAGUAGCGGCAUAUCUGAUAUCAUCAAAAGCUUGAGAGUAUUCCUCCACUCCUUGUUGUUGGGUCACAUUAACCAAAUCUCUCAUAGCUUGAGGGUAUUCGUCCACUCCGAACUUCUCCCUAACUACUUGUGUAAACUUCCCCCAAUCACUAAAUCCAUGUUUCAGCUUAUACACUUGUAACCACUUCGACGCAUUCCCCUCCAUGUGCAUAGAAGCUGAACUCGCCUACAACCACUCUGGCACCUGAUAAACGGUGAAGUAAUCAACACACCGAUUGUUUGCAUCCCUAUCAACAACUUGUGCAUAUUGAUAAUUUUGGAAAAGGAAAUAUAACUAACAAAAAUCAUAUUGAUAAGCUAAAAGCGCAAGGACAAGUAAACUCCGCAAUACAUAAUGGCAUGAAGUCAUGGAUUAGAAGGUCGCCAUAGUUGAGUUGCUCUAGCUAAACAUUUUUCUUCAAAAUUUACAGCCAGUAAGUAACAUCUAGCUAUUACUAAAUAGUAGUUAGAAUAAGAGUACAAUAGAUGUACUUGUACAAAAUUUUCCCUUCUAUAAAUUAAGAAAAAGCAGCACACUGCAAGUCAGUUCAGCAGCACCAAGAACUUGUGUGUUUUGUUCUCCCUUCCUCUCCCUAAUUGUGUGUGUCUAGAGUGAGGUAGUAGAUGCACAAGAAAAUAAAAAAAUGAAUUGACGAGAUGAACUGAACUAAAUUGGAUAUCUAUUUAAAAAACAAAAAAAAACAAAGCUGAACGGAGGGCACUAUGUUCAUGCUCUUUAUCGGCUAUCCACUUAUUAUUCCAACAGAUAGAAAUAGCUCAUUUGAUCUCUUCGGUUUCUCGCUCUAGACUACACGCCACCAACCAUGUCUCAUGUUUCUCGCUCCAGCUGAUUACCAAAUCGAGCAGCUAGCUACAGAUGCAAAACAAGUGGAGUGGCAGGAGAAGAACCUAUCAAGCAGGUGUAAGAUCUACCACCGGGUAAGUAACAAUUGAUAAAUCUACGGAGGGCGAGGCGGCGCGUGACACAGCAGUGCACCACAAAAUCCGGGCGGCUGCAGCAGUAUGUAGGGGUGAAAACGGACAGAUACGGAUGGAUAGUAGCUCAUCCUGUAUCCUACCCUAAUGUAUUUAAAACGGAUUCGGGAUCGGAUACGGAUAGUUAGAAACGGGACGGAUACGGAUACAGGGACCGGAUAUUUAUCCGAGCGGAUAAGUGACGGAUACAGAUAUUAUUUGAUCGGAUAUCGGAUACUUGUCGGAUAAUGCAUUAAUUGGUUAUCAUAAAAUAUUCUUGUUCGACCACGAAAUUGCAAGUAAAUUAAUACUAAUAAACAUUUAAUAGAAGAUAAUCUCAAGUUCCCACAUAAAAAUGGUAAAGUGAAGUAUUGAUUAUGUUGAAACUUGGAUACUUAGAGUGAUUUCAUGUGUAACUCACGCAAUAAGUGAAAAUAAAAUAGAAAAAACGUUGACAUCCUGUGGAUUUUAUGGUCCCAUUAUUUUUUAUGACUAUAUGUGGCCAUAUGUUGUACCUUCGUAUAAUUUCAUAGAUUUCUGAGGCUAUUUGUACAUUAUUAAUUUCUUUCUACAUAAAAUCAUCAAAAUAUAAUUAAAAUUCAUAAAUACACUAGUUUUAACCCAAAAUUGCAAAAAACUUACCAAAACAAAUAAAAAAUUUAUUCAAAUAAAACCUCAAGUCGCCACAUGAAAAUGAUAAGUGAAAUAUUAAUUAUGUUGAAACGUCGAUAUAUAAAAUGAUUUCACGUGUAACUCACGCAAUAAGUGGGAGUGGAAUGGAAGAAACACCAACAUCUUGUGAAUUUUAUAAUCCAAAUAUUUUUGAUAACUAUAUGUGGAUAUAUGUUGUGUCCCCGUAAAAAUUCAUGAAUUUUUUAGGCUAUUUGGUGUAUUAUUAAUUUCUUGUUGUAGAAAAUCAUCAAAAUAUAAUUAAAUUCAUAAAAAUUUUGUAGUGUCGACCAUAAAUUGCGAAUAAGUUACCAAUAUUAAUAAAUAGUUUAUAAAAAGAUAAUUCUAAGUUCCCACAUGGAGAUAAUCUUAAGUCCCCACAUGAAAAUGUUAAAGUCUAUUAUUUUGAUAUAAAUUUAGACAUUAUUUCAAUGAUUUUGGCCUAAAGAUAUGUUUAAACAAAAAUGUGUUGUACUACAAAGUUAUAGAUCUCUUCGAGCUCUACACUUUUUAUAAACUUUAUUUUCAUCCGAUUUCAUAUGUAAAAGUUAUAAUUUUAUAACUGUUGGGGGCCUUCGGCUUACGAAGGUCCUCAAAAACAGGAUUUAACAGUAUUUCUGGAGUUUAAUGUGUGAACAGGUAUCUUCGGACUCAAAUCGGUAUCACAGCAGACCAGAAUAAUACGAAGGUUGAUACAGCGCCGAAGGUGUGAGCAGGAAAGCUUCGGCAUGAUAGCAACAAAAUGAAACCGACUUAAAGAUGAAAAGGCUAUUCAGACCUCGAUAGAUUACAAUAGAAUUAUUAUCAAAUGUAAAGGGCAUGAAUGUAAUUUUGCAUAGGCUGUGACCUGUGCCUAUAAAUAGGUGAACAGUACCCCCGUACUGGGGGGGGCUGAUUAGGGCAUUCACUUUUGCGUCACGCUUGUACUUUCAUCUCCUUCAAGUUGAAGGUACAUUUGUAAUUCAAUGAUUAUUUCUGUUUAUAUAUGAUAAUAAGACAUAUUUGUUUA
Molecule: long non-coding RNA, 7627 nt
Organism: Zea mays
Lineage: Eukaryota; Viridiplantae; Streptophyta; Magnoliopsida; Poales; Poaceae
Exons: 2
Source: RefSeq, a predicted model, not a curated record